GGCACAGAUCUCGCUUAAGUAAACCCACAGGUAACCAACGGCGGUUGCCCCACCUACGACAAAGACGUCGC
Molecule: non-coding RNA, 71 nt
Organism: Pseudomonas fluorescens
Lineage: Bacteria; Pseudomonadati; Pseudomonadota; Gammaproteobacteria; Pseudomonadales; Pseudomonadaceae
Source: Rfam